GACGAACGCUGGCGGCGCGCCUAACACAUGCAAGUCGAACGAGCGAGAGAGAGCUUGCUUUCUCGAGCGAGUGGCGAACGGGUGAGUAACGCGUGAGGAACCUGCCUCAAAGAGGGGGACAACAGUUGGAAACGACUGCUAAUACCGCAUAAGCUCACGGCUCGCCAUCGGGCAGGGGGAAAAGGAGCAAUCCGCUUUGAGAUGGCCUCGCUUCCGAUUAGCUAGGUGGUGGGGUAACGGCCCACCAAGGCGACGAGCGGUAGCCGUGCUGAGAGGUUGACCGGCCACCUUGGGGCUAAGGCCCGGCCCCGAAUCCUACGGGAGGGAGCAGUAGGGUGUAUUACACACUGAGGGAGACCCUGAUACCGCGGCGCCGCGUAGAAGAAGAAGGUCUUCGGAUUGUAAACUCCUGUUGUUGGAGGAGAUAAUGACGGUACCCAACAAGGAAGUGACGGCUAACUACGUG
This 466-nucleotide ribosomal RNA is filed under the name uncultured bacterium. RNAcentral describes it as "partial 16S ribosomal RNA". It matches the Rfam family "Bacterial small subunit ribosomal RNA", at positions 28 to 507 of the family's 1533-position model. The record is from RNAcentral.